Nematostella vectensis (starlet sea anemone) is the source of this 798-nucleotide long non-coding RNA. RefSeq lists it as uncharacterized. NCBI's taxonomy places the organism in Eukaryota, Metazoa, Cnidaria, Anthozoa, Actiniaria, Edwardsiidae. The transcript is spliced from 2 exons. The record is from RefSeq and is a predicted model, not a curated record.
GUCGAUUUUCUUCUGUUUUGAAUUUUCACCGUUCAAAACGGGAAUGUCCCGAUUCUUGAGUUCUAGUAAAAAGAGAAUGGUAGAAUUUUCUGUGAAAGGGAAAAUCAAUAUAAGCAGCAUCGACCAGGGGCCAUAAAUGCUAGCUAUUUUGAAACAUGUGCUUUCAUAGCAACAAAUCACGUGUGCUUUUGUUAUUUGAUCUUUUUAAUGGAAAAUCGACAUUGUAUUAAUAUUAUUUAUUUAACUUUUAAAGAAUACCGUUCAAACGAAGGUUUCCGGAUGAUUUCAACGAAAAUUUGUGCUUUUCCUGCUUUGACCAACAUUUGUUUCUAUUCUACAGGUGUUUGUUUGUCACGGAAAUAACCACCUGUAUUACAAGAAAUCACGUGCACUUUCCGGCGGAAGUGGGAUUCACAUAGCGCACACAUCGCACUUUUUGACGUCGCUGCUCUUGAUUUUACGCACGAAGAAGUGAAUAUUCAUAUUGUUUGAUUCUCAUGCUAGGCUUGAGACAUUAAGAAUCGCUAACAGAAACAGACCCAAGGCUAGGGAAGAAGUUUAAACUGGCCCAUCACAGGACGGAGACGUGAAUAUUGAAUAUAGAACGUGAACAAGAAUAUAAAUGGUAGAUACGUCAGAAAGGCCAAGCAAGGCCGCGCAUUCGCUACAACCCCUGCAUCCCUACACUGGGCGUCAGAGGCCCUGCUUGUUUUACUCAUUUUACUAAGAGGUACAGCCAUCAACAAUUAGUGGCUGAAUCAGAGUUCUUUGUUGUGCGGAUAAAGUCAUCAACCAUUA